CCGGCCCUCGAGUUCCCCGCGA
This 22-nucleotide microRNA is filed under the name Sus scrofa (pig). RNAcentral's name for it is "ssc-mir123". Lineage: Eukaryota; Metazoa; Chordata; Mammalia; Artiodactyla; Suidae. The record is from RNAcentral.